Molecule: ribosomal RNA, 253 nt
Filed under: uncultured bacterium
Lineage: Bacteria
Description: partial 16S ribosomal RNA
Rfam family: Bacterial small subunit ribosomal RNA
Source: RNAcentral
UACGUAGGGUGCGAGCGUUGCCCGGAUUUAUUGGGCGUAAAGGGCGCGCAGGCGGUUCUGUUUGUCGAGUGUGAAAGCCCCGGGCUUAACCUGGGAAUGGCAUUGGAAACUGGCUCGCUGGAGUGUGGCAGAGGGGGGUGGAAUUCCGCGUGUAGCAGUGAAAUGCGUAGAGAUGCGGAGGAACACCGAUGGCGAAGGCAGCCCCCUGGGCUAACACUGACGCUCAGGCACGAAAGCGUGGGGAGCAAACAGG